UUGAAAAUAUAUAUUAAGAUGAAUCCAACAAUAUAUUAUAUAAGAACAUUUGUUUUCAUAUACUAGAAAUAAAAUAGGGUCAAAGUGAAUUAUAUGAAUAGUGCAAAAAGUCAAAGCGGACCGAGUAUUAAGGGGCAAAAGAAGUAACUAUAUUAAUAAACUAACCACAAGCACCCCCAAGCCCAUAGCACAAUUUAGCCCAAUUAGUAGGCCCACUCCAACUCAAACAUAAAAGGUAAUCUAAAUAUUUAAACCACUAAUUUUAUCUCUAUUCUAUCAAUCUUGGAUAUUUCCCAACAACAAAAACUCACUAUAUAAUAAUGACUACUCUACCGCUCUACCAAGAACUUAUUAGAUUCAUCUCGAUGUAUAUUUUAACAAUAUCAAACUUCAUAAUUUGAACUACAUGCAAUUCAAGAUAUUAAUAUAUGUUAAAAAAUGUAUAUUGACAAACGUAAAAGUCAAAAUAUCGUUGACUGGUGUUAAUUACUUGACUUUUUAUGCUGGUGUUACUCGAAGAGAUAAAAUAUUAAUUUCAUGGCCGGUAAGGUUGGAGAAUUGAAUAGAAUACUGGUCCCUAGUUUAAAAAAUAAAAAUAAUAUAAAUAAACAAAAAAAAAAUCAAAAAACUCCAACUGAGUUUUAUCCCAAUCUCAUUCAGGCCAUACAAUUUUUAUCCCACGUUUUUGGGUUGCAAUAUUAAUUUUAGAUGCCAAAACAAUUUUGUCAUUGAAAGCAGUGAUUGGUAGCUAUUUCAUCGUACGUAUUAGUGAGUCACUCGUCUAUAAAAUGAACACAAUUUUUAUUGCAUCAACAUAACCAACCACCAAACGUUACAAAUAAUCUUGAAACUUUGAGUUACACUAAACAAUUCAAAGAGAAAUCAAGAGAUGGAAUCAGAUUUAUGCCCAUCUGGGAAACUUAGCUGGCCAGAGCUUGAAGGGAUGAAGGGAGAAGAAGCAGCAAAAAUCAUUAAGGAAGAAAACCCUCGUGUUGAUCCCAUUGUUUGGGAUAAAUCUUGGAUCCCACUCAACUACAACUGCUACCGUGUCUUUGUCAUUGUUGAUUCUGAUGGAAUUGUCAUUCGUCCUCCAAUGGCCGGUUAAGCAAGCAAAGUAAUGCGUACACAUAAAAUUGAAGUACGGAGUAAUGAAUAAAUAUGUGUAAUGACUAGCUAGUGCGAUUAUGUUAUGUUGAAAUAAAAUAAAAAGAGUAAUAACAUUUAUGUUUUUGCUCUGUAUAUGUUGAA
Molecule: long non-coding RNA, 1248 nt
Organism: Spinacia oleracea (spinach)
Lineage: Eukaryota; Viridiplantae; Streptophyta; Magnoliopsida; Caryophyllales; Amaranthaceae
Exons: 2
Source: RefSeq, a predicted model, not a curated record